Molecule: ribosomal RNA, 1521 nt
Filed under: uncultured Planctomycetales bacterium
Lineage: Bacteria; Pseudomonadati; Planctomycetota; Planctomycetia; Planctomycetales
Description: 16S ribosomal RNA
Rfam family: Bacterial small subunit ribosomal RNA
Source: RNAcentral
CAUGCAAGUCGAACGAGGAUAUAUCCUUCGGGGUAUAAGCCGAGUGGCGCAAGGGUGAGUAAUGCAUAGAUUACCUGCCUCUAGGAUAAGGACAACUUUGUGAAAACGAAGCUAAUACUUAAUAAUACAAAAGAAAAUAAUUUUCUUUUGUCAAUGGGAGGGUAGCAAUACCUUUUGCCUAGAGAGGGGUUUAUGUCCUAUCAGCUUGUUGGUGGGGUAAUGGCCUACCAAGGCGAAGACGGGUAGCCGGUCUUAGAGGAUGGUCGGCCACACUGGGACUGAGACACUGCCCAGACUUCUACGGAAGGCUGCAGUCGAGAAUCUUUCGCAAUGCCCGAAAGGGUGACGAAGCGACGCCGCGUGAGUGAGGAAGGCCUUAGGGUUGUAAAGCUCUGUCAGGAGUUAAGAAAUAUAAGUGUGUUAAUACCACAUUUAUUUGACGAAGGCUCCAAAGGAAGCCACGGCUAACUCUGUGCCAGCAGCCGCGGUAAUACAGAGGUGGCAAGCGUUGUUCGGAAUUAUUGGGCGUAAAGAGCACGUAGGUGGGUUUGUAAGUCAGAUGUGAAAGCCUUCUGUUCAACGGAAGAAUUGCAUCUGAAACUGCAAAUCUUGAGUGUAGGAGGGGAGAAUGGAACUUCUGGUGGAGCGGUGAAGUGCGUAGAUAUCAGAAGGAACGCCGGCGGCGAAAGCGAUUCUCUGGCCUAUUACUGACACUCAGUGUGCGAAAGCUAGGGGAGCAAACGGGAUUAGAUACCCCGGUAGUCCUAGCCGUAAACGAUGGGCACUAAGUAGAGGGAAUUACCGAUGUUCUCUCUGCCGUAGCUAACGCAUUAAGUGCCCCGCCUGGGGAGUACGGCCGCAAGGCUAAAACUCAAAAGAAUUGACGGGGGCUCGCACAAGCGGUGGAGCAUGUGGCUUAAUUCGAUGCAACGCGAAAAACCUUACCGGGGCUUGACAUGGUAGAAGUAGGAACCCGAAAGGGUAACGAACGGUAUCCAGUCCGUAGCUAUCACAGGUGUUGCAUGGCUGUCGUCAGCUCGUGUCGUGAGACGUUGGGUUAAGUCCCCUAACGAGCGAAACCCUUGUUUUUAGUUACCAGCGGGUUAUGCCGGGUACUCUAGAAAGACUGCCGUCGUCAAGACGGAGGAAGGUGGGGAUGACGUCAAGUCAUCAUGGCCCUUAUGCCCCGGGCUGCACACGUGCUACAAUGGUCGGUACAAACGGAAGCGAAGCCGAGAGGUGAAGCGAAUCCUAAAAAGCCGAUCUCAGUUCGGAUUGGAGGCUGAAAUUCGCCUCCAUGAAGUUGGAAUCGCUAGUAAUCGCGGAUCAGCAAUGCCGCGGUGAAUAUGUUCCCGAGCCUUGUACACACCGCCCGUCAAGCCACCCAAGCAGGAUGCACCCGAAAACAUUAUAUCUAACCAGGGCAACUUGGAGGAAAGUGUUGAAGGAGUGUUUUGUGAGGAGGACUAAGUCGUAACAAGGUAGUCGUAGGAGAACCUGCGGCUGGAUCACCUCCUUUCU